CCUACGGGAGGCAGCAGUGGGGAAUAUUGGGCAAUGGAGGAAACUCUGACCCAGCAACGCCGCGUGAAGUAUGAAGGUUUUCGGAUUGUAAACUUCUGUCGCGAGGGAUGAAGAAUGACGGUACCUCGUAAGAAAGCCCCGGCAAACUACGUGCCAGCAGCCGCGGUAAUACGUAGGGGGCAAGCGUUAUCCGGAUUUACUGGGUGUAAAGGGAGGGUAGACGGUGCGCCAAGUCUGGAGUGAAAUGCCGCAGCUUAACUGCGGAACUGCUUUGGAAACUGGCGAACUAGAGUGCGGGAGGGGUAAGCGGAAUUCCUAGUGUAGCGGUGAAAUGCGUAGAUAUUAGGAGGAACACCGGUGGCGAAGGCGGCUUACUGGACCGUAACUGACGUUGAGGCUCGAAAGCGUGGGGAGCAAACAGGAUUAGAUACCCGUGUAGUC
RNAcentral lists this ribosomal RNA (441 nucleotides) under uncultured bacterium. RNAcentral describes it as "partial 16S ribosomal RNA". It matches the Rfam family "Bacterial small subunit ribosomal RNA", at positions 338 to 795 of the family's 1533-position model. The record is from RNAcentral.